RNAcentral lists this ribosomal RNA (4524 nucleotides) under Candidatus Microgenomates bacterium. Its description in RNAcentral is "23S ribosomal RNA". The stretch from base 1 to 2560 matches the Rfam family "Bacterial large subunit ribosomal RNA". The record is from RNAcentral. Lineage: Bacteria; Candidatus Microgenomatota.
GCUGACAACGGAUGCCUUGGCAGGUUUUGCCGAUGAAGGACGCAUAUGGCGGCGAUACUCGUCGGGUAGGAGCCAUACUCCUUUUGAUCCGGCGGUUUCCGAAUGGGGCAACCCCUCCGAUGUUAAAUCGGAGAUCCCUACAUAAAGAUUCUACAGCAAUGUAGGAUAUAGUGUAAGGAAGGGCACUUGGGGAACUGAAACAUCUUAGUACCCAAAGGAAAAGAAAGCAUAAGCGAAUUCCCUUAGUAGCGGCGAGCGAAAAGGGAAAAGCCUAAACCCCGCCUUUGGCGGGGGGUUGUAGGGUCUUCAAUAUGGGAGAAUUACGGAUAGCUGAACUACUUGGAAUAGUAGGCCAUAGAGAGUGAAAGUCUCGUAAGCGAAAUCCAAGAUUACCUUAGAGGAUACCUGAGUAUCAUGGGGCACGAUUAAACCCUGUGAGAAGCUACCACGACCACGUGGUAAGGCUAAAUACAAAACCUGACCGAUAGUGAACUAGUACCGUGAGGGAAAGGUGAAAAGCACCCCGGAAGGGGAAUGAAAUAGAACCUGAAAUUGUCAGCUAACAAGCAGACAGAGUCCCGCCUUUGGCGGGGUGAUGUCGUGCCUAUUGAAGAAUGAACCGGUGAGUUAUUGUACUUUUCGUUAGUCUAAGUCUGCAAAGCAGACGUAGGCGUAGUGAAAGCGAUCCCUAAUUGGGGUAUUUUAGAAAAGUGCAUUAGACCCGAAACCGGGUGAGCUAACCUUGGGCAGGGCGAACUCCGCCGAAAGGCGGGGGGAGGCCCGAACCCGUGUCCGUCGCAAAGGGCUGGGACGACCUGAGGUUAGGGGCAAUAUGCCAAACGAACCCGGAGAUAGCUGGUUCUCCCCGAAAUAUAUUUAGGUAUAGCGCUACGUUUAAUGUUCUGGGGUAGAGCACUGGAUGGUUCGCGGCGAGGCAACUUGUCGCAACCAACCAAACUCCGAAUACGGGACAUAUAUAAAUGUGGUAGUCAGACAUGUCGGGCUAAGCUGAUGUGUCGAAAGGGAAAAAGCCCAAGACUUCAAUCUAAGGUCUCUAAAUGAAAACUUAGUGUAUAAGGAUGUCAAGUUCCAUAGACACCCAGGAGGUUGGCUUAGAAGCAGCCAUCCUUCAAAGAAAGCGUAACAGCUCACUGGCCGAUGGGACUUGGCGCCGAAAAUCUAUCGAGGCUCAAGUUUUCUACCGAAGAUGGAGGAGGGUACCAUACGGUACCCUCGGUAGGGGAGCGUCUUAUAUUCUGUGAAGCCGAACUGUAAGGUUUAGUGGAGGAUAUAGGAGUGAGAAUGCCGGUAUGAGUAGCGAGAGUCCGGUGCGAAACCGGACCGCCGAAGGCCCAAGGUUUCCCCGACAAUGUUAAUCAUUCGGGGGUGAGUCGGUCCUAACAGUGUGCCUCGCUCAGCGGGGUGUAGCUGGAUGGACAAUGGGUUGAUAUUCCCAUACAAAUCUGGAAAUUCAUAUCGAGGGGGUAACGAAACAAGAGUAGCUAACCCCGCCUUUGGCGGGGCUAAGUAGCAAGAUAGUGAUAAUUGGAAAAUCCAUUAUUGCGUUUAAUUAAGCUAUGACGGGAAGUCUCCGCCUCUGGCGGAGAUGACUUAGUAAGUUUUUGUUUCCGAGAAAAUCCUCAUCGAUUUUUUCCAGUUUUACCGUACCGAUAACCGACGCAGGUGGGCUAGUCGAGAAGACUAAGGCGAUCGGGAUAACAAUGAUCAAGGAACUCGGCAAAAAAGCUGGGCGUAACCUUUGGGAGAUGCCCUGCCCCGAGAGAAAUCGAGGGGCUGCAACAAAAGAGUGCUAAGCGACUGUUUAUCUAAAACACAGGUCCCUGCAAAGCUGAAAAGCAAAGUAUAGGGGCUGACGCCUGCCCAGUGCUCGUAGGUCAAGAGUAGUGGUUAAGAUUAUAUCAAGACUGUUACUCAAGCCCGAGUGAACGGCAGCAGUAACUAUAACUGUUCCACGGUAGCGAAGUUCCUUGUCGGGUAAGUUCCGACCCGCACGAAUGGCAGAACGACUUAGCAACUGUCUUGAUCAUUGACCCGGCGAAAUUGAAAUGGCUGUGAAGAUGCGGCCUAGUUGUCCUUGGACAAAAAGACCCCGGGAGCUUUACUGUAGCUUGAUAUUGGAAGGAAGCCGAGAACUGUCGAGAAUAGGAGGGACCCUGAGAGCAAUCGAAGGGAACAGUGGAAUACCUCUCUUUCUUAGUUUCUAACCUUACUUCGUAGCCGCUAAAAAAUCCGGCAGGAGGACAGUGUCUGGUGGGCAGUUUAACUGGGGAGGUUGCCUCCAAAAACGUAACGGAGGCGCACAAAGGUUGGCUUUCCGCCGAUGGAAAUGGCGGAUUAAGUGCAAAGACAUAAGCCAGCUUGACUGCGAGACAAACAAGUCGAGCAGGUACGAAAGUAGGUCUUAGUGAUCCUGUGUGGUCAAGUGGUUUGACGCACAGCUUAACGGAUAAAAGCUACCCCGGGGAUACAUUUCUGUGUCCCGAUUCUAUGGUAACAUAGAAUCAGAGUAUACGGCUAAUAACGGUGGAGCCUUCUUGUUUUUGGUGGUUAAAGUCUUCCACCUACGAGGGAAACAAAGGGUAAUACCGUGGGAAGUCGGAGGAAUAUGAAGUUAACUAAAAGGCAAAUGGCAAUUCUGGUGGGAACAAUUUUGGGAGAUGGAUAUCUUCAAAUGACAGGAAAAACGAAUGCUCGAUUAAGACUUGAACAUCGCCUGUUUCAUAAAGAGUAUUUGCUCUGGAAGAUAAAAGUUUUACCAAAAAGUUUUCAAGGGAAAUAUACGACCUUGCGCAGGGUUCAUCCUGCAACCCACAAAGAAUAUGCUUAUGCUAGAUACCAAUCAAAUGCAUCUCCAUUUUUGGGUAAAUUACAUCAAGUUUUUUAUCCAAAUGGCAAAAAGAAAAUUCCGGAAGAUUUGGCAAAAUGGCUAAAACUUCCACUUUCAUUUGCAGUAUGGUAUUUAGAUGACGGGUAUAGAUAUGCCAGAGAUAAAUGUGCAUAUCUUUAUUUAGGGUGUAUAUCUAGAAAGGAAGCAGAAAUUGCUCAAAUUGCACUUUUAGAAAAUUUUGAACUUCAAACAAGAAUUUUAGAUAAGAAGAAAAAGGGCUUUGCUUUAUACUUUUCGCCGAAUGAAAUUGCGAAGGUCAAAGAGCUAGUAAAACCUUACAUUCUUCCAAUCAUGAAUUAUAAACUUCCUCCUGACCCCGUAUCGACUGAAUGAAAUCACGUUUAGUUUAUAUAAACGUGAGAGUAGUGAGAUCCGCCAUCUGGCGGAUCAUACGCCGUACCCCCGCCAAAGGCGGGGUGAAGAUAUAGUCAGUGCCUAGAAGUAAUUCUAGGAUUAUUAAUAACACGAACAGGCUGAUCGCUCCCAAGCGUCCAUAGCGACGGGGCGGUUUGGCACCUCGAUGUCGGCUCAACGCAUCCUGGGGGUGAAGAAGCUCCCAAGGGUCCGGCUGUUCGCCGGUUAAAGCGUUACGCGAGCUGGGUUCAGAACGUAAAUAUACAUUGCGUUCUAGCAUAGUAAUAUGCUACAAUAAAGUCGACUCAUAUCGGUGAAACCCUCUAGAAAUUAUAGAACUGGUUUCUAAGGGUAAUACCGAGGGAAGAUAAAGAUGGUAGAAGUGACAAGAGCUUAUAUUGCUGGUUUUCUUGAUGGAGAUGGUUCAAUCUUCUUACAACUCAUAAGAAGAAAAGAUUACAAAUUUGGCUAUCAAAUUAGGGCGAGCAUCGUUUUCUAUCAGCAUAAUUCCAAUAAGAAAAUUUUGAAGUGGUUAAAACACAAAUUAAGGAUUGGUUAUUUGAGAGAUAGGAAAGAUGGAAUGACUGAAUAUACGAUAGUCGGUUUAGAAGAAGUGAAGCGAGUAAUUAUUCUUACUAAACCAUACGUGUUCUUAAAAAGAAAACAAGCAGAGCUAGCUCUAAGAAUUAUUAAAAGGCUUGAGAGAGGUAAUAUAAGUGCAGGAAUGUUUUUAAGAAUAGCAAAAGAAGUUGAUAAAUUUAAAAUACUCAAUUAUUCUAAAAAGCGCACGAAUACUUCUCUUAAAGUCCGUAAAUAUUUUAUCACACAUCAUCUUUUAUCCCCGUAACGACUUCUCGCCAUUGGCGAGAGACUUCAAGAGAUUCUUGAGGUAAGACGUCGAAUCCUACUCCCGCAAUAUUGUGGGACAAGAGGAAUAAGGUAUAGUCUAUGCCAUUGGAAACAAUGGGUAAACAUGCGUAAGACAGUUCGGUCUCUAUCCAGGACAACCGUUCGAGAUUUGAGGGGAGCCGUCCCUAGUACGAGAGGACUGGGAUGGAGGAAUCCCUGGUGUACCAGUUGUAUAAAAAAUGCAUCGCUGGGUAGCUAUAUUCCUAUGGGAUAACCGCUGAAAGCAUCUAAGUGGGAAGCCCACCCCAAGAUUAGGUCUCGUUAAAAAGACCCGUUGUAGACUACAACGUUGAUAGGUGGCAGGUGUAAGAGCAGUAAUGCUUUAAGCCGAGCCAUACUAAUCGGUCGAGAGU